ACUCCUACGGGAGGCAGCAGUGGGGAAUAUUGCACAAUGGGCGCAAGCCUGAUGCAGCCAUGCCGCGUGUGUGAAGAAGGCCUUGGGUUGUAAAGCACUUUCAGCAGUGAGGAAGGCGGGUAUGUUAAUAGCAUAUUCGUUUGACGUUAGCUGCAGAAGAAGCACCGGCUAACUCCGUGCCAGCAGCCGCGGUAAUACGGAGGGUGCGAGCGUUAAUCGGAAUUACUGGGCGUAAAGCGCAUGCAGGUGGUUGUUAAGUCAGAUGUGAAAGCCCGGGGCUCAACCUCGGAAUAGCAUUUGAAACUGGCAGACUAGAGUACUGUAGAGGGGGUAGAAUUUCAGGUGUAGCGGUGAAAUGCGUAGAGAUCUGAAGGAAUACCGGUGGCGAACGGCGGCCCCCUGGACAGAUACUGACACUCAGAUGCGAAAGCGUGGGAGCAAACAGGAUUAGAUACCCCUGGUAGCGACUGA
This 471-nucleotide ribosomal RNA is filed under the name uncultured bacterium. Its description in RNAcentral is "bacterial SSU rRNA". It matches the Rfam family "Bacterial small subunit ribosomal RNA", at positions 335 to 803 of the family's 1533-position model. The record is from RNAcentral.